Molecule: RNA transcript, 1151 nt
Organism: Papaver somniferum (opium poppy)
Lineage: Eukaryota; Viridiplantae; Streptophyta; Magnoliopsida; Ranunculales; Papaveraceae
Gene name: putative cysteine-rich receptor-like protein kinase 33
Exons: 6
Source: RefSeq, a predicted model, not a curated record
AGCUUUACUGGGGUUUAGCUGAGAUUAGUGGUUUUCAAUCGAUUUUAAGAAAAAUGAUAAUCAAACUCAAGGAUACUAGUGCUCCAUUGCUUUCCCCUGAAACAACACCUAACGGCAACCCACAGUUACACUCCGAGCCUAUGGUGGGUUUCUCUCAAAAUCAUCUUCUAGGAGCUUUCAUAUUAGGAGGUGGAAUCGUCAUAUUCAUCGGUUUCGUUUUGUUAAUUUGCUACAAGCUAAGAAUUUUCCAGCUUCUUAAACAACGGUGGUCAAGAAAAAGAGGUUUGAAGUUUGAAAGCUCAUUGCAAAUAAGACGGUUCCGGUUAGAAGAAGUUGAGAAAGCUACCAAGAGUUUUAGUCGAGACUGUUUGAUUGGGACUGGAGCAUUUGGGAAGGUUUAUGCAGGGGUGUUUGAGGAUGACCGAACACUGGCAGUUAAAAGGGCCCAUGAUAAUUCAUUUCAGAGUCUCCAAGAAUUCAGAAAUGAAGUAGAAUUAGUCUCAAAAGUGAAGCAUAGGAACCCUGUGGGCUUGGUUGGUUACUGCCAUGAAGCUGGUUCUCUUGUAUGGUGUAUUUUGUGGCAAUAGGGGUAAAAGCUCUGCUUUACGAGUAUGUACCUAACGGUUCUUUACUUGAAUAUAUAGUUGGAAUAGCUUUCCUUCAUGAAGGAGUAAUACCAUGCAUAAUCCAUAGAGAUAUCAAGCCAAGCAACAUAUUAGUUGGAUCAAGCUUUGAAGCAAAGGUUUCAGAUUUUGGAUUAGUGAAAUCGGGUCCAACAGGAUAUCAAUCUCAUGUUAGUAGUUACCGUUGAUACAACUAGCGACAGAAUUCCUGGUCACAUAAUAGAAUGGGCAAGGCCAAGCAUAGAAAGAGGUAUUGUGGAGGAUAUAAUAGAUGUAAAUCUACUAGCAGAGCCAUGCAACAUGCAGAUGAUGCUAAAGAUGGGACAACUAGGCCUAAGGUGCACGGUAGAGACACCCAAAAACCGUCCUACCAUGACUCAAGUGGCGCAAGAACUUGAGGAAGCUCUCGUUAUCACAGACAAUUAGUUGACACAUGUUCGCAAUCAACCCUACCAUUCCAAAGGUUCGAUUAAGGCGUCAAUGGAAGAAUUGCAUAAGUUUUCGGAUGAUCAUCAAACUUUACAACAU